GACGAACGCUGGCGGCGUGCCUAAUACAUGCAAGUAGAACGCUGAAGGAGGAGCUUGCUUCUCUGGAUGAGUUGCGAACGGGUGAGUAACGCGUAGGUAACCUGCCUGGUAGCGGGGGAUAACUAUUGGAAACGAUAGCUAAUACCGCAUAAGAGUGGAUGUUGCAUGACAUUUGCUUAAAAGGUGCACUUGCAUCACUACCAGAUGGACCUGCGUUGUAUUAGCUAGUUGGUGGGGUAAGGGCUCACCAAGGCGACGAUACAUAGCCGACCUGAGAGGGUGAUCGGCCACACUGGGACUGAGACACGGCCCAGACUCCUACGGGAGGCAGCAGUAGGGAAUCUUCGGCAAUGGACGGAAGUCUGACCGAGCAACGCCGCGUGAGUGAAGAAGGUUUUCGGAUCGUAAAGCUCUGUUGUAAGAGAAGAACGAGUGUGAGAGUGGAAAGUUCACACUGUGACGGUAUCUUACCAGAAAGGGACGGCUAACUACGUGCCAGCAGCCGCGGUAAUACGUAGGUCCCGAGCGUUGUCCGGAUUUAUUGGGCGUAAAGCGAGCGCAGGCGGUUAGAUAAGUCUGAAGUUAAAGGCUGUGGCUUAACCAUAGUAGGCUUUGGAAACUGUUUAACUUGAGUGCAAGAGGGGAGAGUGGAAUUCCAUGUGUAGCGGUGAAAUGCGUAGAUAUAUGGAGGAACACCGGUGGCGAAAGCGGCUCUCUGGCUUGUAACUGACGCUGAGGCUCGAAAGCGUGGGGAGCAAACAGG
Molecule: ribosomal RNA, 763 nt
Filed under: uncultured Streptococcus sp.
Lineage: Bacteria; Bacillati; Bacillota; Bacilli; Lactobacillales; Streptococcaceae
Description: bacterial SSU rRNA
Rfam family: Bacterial small subunit ribosomal RNA
Source: RNAcentral